AUUCUGAAAUUAGAAACCAGUUUCACGCGUUUCACUAUGUUCUUUCAUUUUCUAAACCCUAAACUACCAUGAAGGAAAACAAAAUAUCAAGUUCUUCACAUCCCACCCAAAUCACUCUCGAAUUCUCCGAUUGUCUCUGAAAUCUGCACAACCGAACAAGGAAACCAAAACCAAUUUUGUUAUGCCGAUUUUUGCACCGAAACCAAAACAAUCAAUCCUCUUGUUAUCCCUGAAUUUCUGCCGAAAAUGAGGGAAGCCAAAAUCAAUUUGGCUUAUGUUUUAUUGUGCAACAAAAUACAAAAUCCUAAUUUGGUUGCUUCUGAUUCCUGCCGCAAGCUAAGGAGACGACAUCAUCGAGGUACCUUUCUAGUUGAUAGCUGCGAAUCGAUCACGGCUCUUUGAAGCGUCUUGUUGUUUGUUUGCAGAUCGGUACCGGUCGGAAAGGAUGGGUUAGCGGAGGUGAUUAGAGGUUUUAAGGAUGUUUAUUGAGCUGAGCACGUUGGAAUUUGUAGAUUUGUAAUAGGAUUUUGGAUAAAUGUAUAUUAGUCUUGGUUGUGUUGGUUAUAUUGGAAUCUAAGUGAAUUGUAUGAUUACUUGUGUUUUAGUUAGAUGUUUGGUUUGAGAAUUAGCUGAGUUAGUUACAUUGAAAAGCUGGUGUCCCCUUUGCUCAAGUUUUAGAAGUGUGAUUUCAGUUUUUGGGAAACGAAUCCAGUGAUGACUAUGUUUACCCAGUCUUACAAAUAGAAUCUUGUUUGAAUCGCCUAAUCUCAUACUUUCAUAAUAUUAACUUUUUAUAUAUUUAAGAUGUGUAUAAUUAAUUCAACAUAUAAAUAAACAAAAUAAUACAUUAAAUUGUAUAAAAAAUCAAAUAUAGCAACUAUAAUGAAACGGAGUAAAUAUGUAGUAGUAGUAAGGAGGAAAU
Amaranthus tricolor (Joseph's coat) is the source of this 922-nucleotide long non-coding RNA. RefSeq lists it as uncharacterized. The transcript is spliced from 3 exons. The record is from RefSeq and is a predicted model, not a curated record. NCBI's taxonomy places the organism in Eukaryota, Viridiplantae, Streptophyta, Magnoliopsida, Caryophyllales, Amaranthaceae.